Molecule: long non-coding RNA, 1092 nt
Filed under: Olea europaea (common olive)
Lineage: Eukaryota; Viridiplantae; Streptophyta; Magnoliopsida; Lamiales; Oleaceae
Description: long non-coding RNA (OEUR_LNC001313)
Source: RNAcentral
CAAAUUAAUAUAUUUAUAAGCCACAGAUUAUCGUUAAGUCGUAAAUUUUCAAAUUUUUAUAACACAAUUAGAUAGUUGAUCACAAAUAAUCGAAUAGUUGGUCACAUACUACUUCCACCACAGCCGCUUACGACAACCACCACCAUCCACCGCCAGUAACACAGACACAGCUCGACAACCCACCACCAACGGCCAUUUCAGUCCAUUUUACUUUUGACGGUAAACUGGGUGCAACAACAACGCCACUUUACCACCACUGUUACCGUUUCCAUCAAACUUCCAUUUUCAACUUCACAAUCAUCGUUUUCAACUACAAAAUCACCACUGGCACCGUCAGACCACCACCACUAGAUCUACCGCCAAAUUCAACAAAAGACUAUCAUAACCGCCAGAUCCAUCACCGUUCUCGCCACCAACAAGAAUCACAACCACCACUAGAUCCAACAAAAUCACCGCCGCCGCCUUAAAUUCUUACAAAAAAAAUCUACAAAUCUGUCUUCGGUACCACCACCACCGGCUCAAAUCACAACCCACAGACUUUAUACAAAACCACAAACUUCGUCAAUGCCAAACCACAACCUCACAUUCAAAAUGUGCAAAUUUUUAGACAACAUUCACUACGCAGAUCAGUCGAUGCUUAUAACAGGAUGAGAUGAAAUGAUCGUCUGGGUACGGAUAAGAAAGAGAUUGCUACUUCUCAGCAUAGUAGCAGUGGCAGAGCUUCUCCAUUAUGGGGUGGCACUACGCCGAGGUUCCGAGAGUGGCAGAAUCGAAGAAGUUGCUAUUGAUAAUGAUCGCCCCCGCGUCUGAGGUCUUUGGAGUGGCUACCACUGCAUCGGAGUUGAGGCAUUGAAAAAGCAGAUGUUGGAGUGGAGGCGUGGGAGAAGCGAUUAUUAGGAGUAGAGAUAGUUCUCCACCAAAUGCAGCGAUAUCGAGCAACGUCGAUCUUAGAGCGCUACCUGUAGUGAGGGGUCGUUAGUGACCACUACAGCACAACACCGACAAUGUCGUGAGCAACUAAGCGCUCGCCGGUGGUUUAUGCGGUGGCGGCGUGUGGUGGUAAAGAGAAAGACGAUAUAUUUAUGAAAUAUA